Molecule: non-coding RNA, 412 nt
Organism: Misgurnus anguillicaudatus (oriental weatherfish)
Lineage: Eukaryota; Metazoa; Chordata; Actinopteri; Cypriniformes; Cobitidae
Source: RefSeq, a predicted model, not a curated record
UUCAGUUGUUUCCAAUAGAAGCACUGUGCUUUUAAAAACUGCAGAAACCGGCAGGUUUUUUCCAUGCUGAGCCCCUGGAGUUAACAGAUCUAAAGUGAUAUCUGGACUGGAUCACACGGGCUGAAGAUAUUGACCCUGAUAAAGAUGAUGAGAGAGUUCAGGAGACCAAAGACAGCCCAUGCAUUCCCACAAGUGAGACAGAAUCUAUGGAGACACAAAAUCCAGAAGAGGACGAGAGGAUCUUGUGCUGUGGACCUGCCUGUCAAAAUCUCACAAAGUCAAAAAAGUUCAGGUCAGUAGCUCAAUGUGUCAGUCUUGCAUGUGCCUUUGUCCUAUAAUUUGAGGUGACAUCAAACCAGAGGUGGGGGACUCGAGCCACAUGACUUAAGUCUGACUCGAGUCACAUUUUUCA